GACAGAGGCCUCAAGCGUUAGGCGGAAUCACUGGGCUUAAAGCGUGUGUAGGCGGAUCGUUAAGUGUCUUGUGAAAUCCCACGGCUCACCCGUGGAACUGCUGGGCAUACUGGCGAUCUUGGGCCAACUAGGGGCAACUGGAACAAGCGGUGGAGCGGUGAAAUGCGUAGAUAUCGCUUGGAACGCCAACGGUGAAAACAGGUUGCUGGGGUUGUGCCGACGCUGGA
RNAcentral lists this ribosomal RNA (227 nucleotides) under uncultured bacterium. RNAcentral's name for it is "partial 16S ribosomal RNA". It matches the Rfam family "Bacterial small subunit ribosomal RNA", at positions 524 to 750 of the family's 1533-position model. The record is from RNAcentral.